This 85-nucleotide transfer RNA is filed under the name Candidatus Nomurabacteria bacterium. RNAcentral's name for it is "tRNA-Tyr". It matches the Rfam family "tRNA". From Rfam's summary of the family: Transfer RNA (tRNA) molecules are approximately 80 nucleotides in length. Lineage: Bacteria; Candidatus Nomuraibacteriota. The record is from RNAcentral.
GCUGGAAUCGUGUAGUGGCUAUCACAGGAGACUGUAAAUCUCCCGCCUAACGGCAUCGUAGGUUCGAGUCCUACUUCCAGCACCA